This 82-nucleotide transfer RNA is filed under the name Camelus ferus (Wild Bactrian camel). It matches the Rfam family "tRNA". Rfam says of the family: Transfer RNA (tRNA) molecules are approximately 80 nucleotides in length. Their secondary structure includes four short double-helical elements and three loops (D, anti-codon, and T loops). The record is from Rfam by way of RNAcentral. Lineage: Eukaryota; Metazoa; Chordata; Mammalia; Artiodactyla; Camelidae.
GAGGGUAUACCUUAGUGGUAAAGUGCAUGCCUAGCAUGCACGGGGUCCUGGGAGGUCCUGGGUUCAAUCCCCAGUAUUCUCC